This 408-nucleotide ribosomal RNA is filed under the name uncultured bacterium. RNAcentral's name for it is "partial 16S ribosomal RNA". It matches the Rfam family "Bacterial small subunit ribosomal RNA", at positions 28 to 526 of the family's 1533-position model. The record is from RNAcentral.
GACGAACGCUGGCGGCGUGCUUAACACAUGCAAGUCGAACGAAGUGGCGAACGCGUGAGUAAUGCGUGGGUACCCGCCCCUCCUGUUUGGGAUAAGCCUUGGAAACGGGGUCUAAUACCGGAUAAUGGGGGCUGCGCUCGCGGCCUAUCGGCUUGUUGGUGGGGUGUUGGCCUACCAAGGCGGUGCCGGGGAGCCGGCCUGGGAGGGGGUGCGGGCACAGUGGGGCUUGGAUACGGCCCAGAGGCCGACGCGAGGGAGCAGGGGGGGAUAUUGCACAAGGGGCGAAAGACUGAUGCAGCGUCGCCGCGUGGGGGAUGAAGGCUGUGGGGUUGUAAAGCUGUUGCGCAACCGAACGGGUAGGUGGAGAAGAAGCGCCGGCUAACUACGUGACAGCAGCCGCGGUAAUUC